AAUAAAUCUAUAUUUGUAAGGUUUUUUGUGUAGCUUCGGAAGCCAGUGCAUAGUUGGGACUUUCAUUGUAUUUGGUUCUGCUUGUAAAGAAGUAGCUAAAAGUUUGUGUUUGUUACAGAUGUCGUUUUCUGAAAAUGAAGUCAGUUGGAAUGUUGGUGAAUUAGUGAUUUCCUUUUGCAGAACCUCUAUAUAAAAUUUACGUCAAACAAUAAUGAUAUUAUUAGCAGCUUUAUCAACCGGGACAAAAACAAAUUCCUUGGCUAGUUCUUUUAGUUUAUGUUUGAUACGCGAAAUAGGGUUUUUAUG
This 306-nucleotide long non-coding RNA is filed under the name Mytilus galloprovincialis (Mediterranean mussel). Lineage: Eukaryota; Metazoa; Mollusca; Bivalvia; Mytilida; Mytilidae. The record is from RNAcentral.